This 305-nucleotide ribosomal RNA is filed under the name uncultured bacterium. RNAcentral describes it as "bacterial SSU rRNA". It matches the Rfam family "Bacterial small subunit ribosomal RNA", at positions 338 to 660 of the family's 1533-position model. The record is from RNAcentral.
CCUACGGGAGGCAGCAGUGGGGAAUAUUGCACAAUGGGGGGAACCCUGAUGCAGCGACGCCGCGUGGGUGAAGGAGCACCUCGGUGCGUAAAGCCCUAUCGGCAGGGAAGAAACAGACGGUACCUGACUAAGAAGCCCCGGCUAACUACGUGCCAGCAGCCGCGGUAAUACGUAGGGGGCAAGCGUUAUCCGGAUUUACUGGGUGUAAAGGGAGCGUAGACGGCAGUGCAAGUCUGGAGUGAAAGGCGGGGGCUCAACCCCCGGACUGCUCUGGAAACUGUACGGCUGGAGUGCAGGAGAGGUAA